AUACGUAGGUGGCAAGCGUUGUCCGGAUUUACUGGGUGUAAAGGGUGCGUAGGCGGCCCUGCAAGUCGGGUGUGAAAACCGUCGGCUCAACUGACGGAUUGCACUCGAAACUGCGGGGCUUGAGUGAAGUAGAGGCAAGCGGAAUUCCCGGUGUAGCGGUGAAAUGCGUAGAGAUCGGGAGGAACACCAGUGGCGAAGGCGGCUUGCUGGGCUUUAACUGACGCUGAGGCACGAAAGCGUGGGUAGCAAACAGGAUUAGAUACCCUGGUAGUCCAUGCUGUAAACGAUGAUUACUAGGUGUGGGUGGACUGACCCCAUCCGUGCCGGAGUUAACACAAUAAGUAAUCCACCUGGGAAGUACGACCGCAAGGUUGAA
RNAcentral lists this ribosomal RNA (376 nucleotides) under uncultured bacterium. Its description in RNAcentral is "bacterial SSU rRNA". It matches the Rfam family "Bacterial small subunit ribosomal RNA", at positions 523 to 898 of the family's 1533-position model. The record is from RNAcentral.